This is a long non-coding RNA of Pistacia vera, 495 nucleotides long. RefSeq lists it as uncharacterized. The transcript is spliced from 3 exons. NCBI's taxonomy places the organism in Eukaryota, Viridiplantae, Streptophyta, Magnoliopsida, Sapindales, Anacardiaceae. The record is from RefSeq and is a predicted model, not a curated record.
AAGAGAGAAAAGAGAGAAAGAAGAAGAAGAGAAGGAGAGGAAGAAGAAAAGAAAGAAGGGAGAGGAAGAUGAAACCAAGAAUAAAGAGAGAGAGGAGAGAAGAGACCGGCGGAGGUGGCUGGAAAAGUGGCCGCCGGCGAGCAAAACUCCGGUGAUCGGAGAGUGGAGGAAGAUCAAGCAUAUGGGAGGGAGACAAGCGGGGGCAUUAUUAGAAGAUUUCAAUCGUUUUUCGGUUUAAGGGUAGAGCUUCAAACUGUUAAGAAGGAGAUCGUGUAUAAGAGUGAAUCCCACUCAAGGUUGGGCCACAUGACUUUAUUUCAUCAUAUGUUUCAUAGUUGUGUUUCAUUUUCCGCUGCAAAGUUUCUAUUUCUUCAUCAUGUAUUAUUUCAUGUUUAGGAUUGUAAAAGACAUGGAAAAAUCUGAUACCAUACGUUCAUUUUGUAAAGGAAAAUUCAGCUGUAUUUUGGUUAUUUGCAAGUGAUGUUAUAUUUUUGG